Long non-coding RNA from Nyctereutes procyonoides (raccoon dog), 800 nucleotides. RefSeq lists it as uncharacterized. The transcript has 2 exons. Lineage: Eukaryota; Metazoa; Chordata; Mammalia; Carnivora; Canidae. The record is from RefSeq and is a predicted model, not a curated record.
GACAACAGUGAAAACCUGGGAGAAACACCACCAGGAGACUGGACUUUCAUCUAUGUUGCAAAAGGCAGUUUUCUAGGCACCAAGACUGAUAAAUCGAGGCCUAAACAUGAAAGCUCUUGACAAGGAUCUCCUCUAGCUGAGGAACAUCAUGCCUACAACACUGGAGAAAGGAACACACUGCGAAAUGGGAUUUCUCCUUUGAUUAAAAUGGAGAUGACUUCAAAAGGAACAUGGAGAAGCUGGAGCAAACGUAAUGGGUUGAGGUGAUAGGCUGGCUGAUGUGAAAUGUUUCCUCAUACUUAAAUGAUAGUAAUUAUGGUAUAAUGUUGUAUAAAUAUUUUUCAAGCUGAUUGAUAAGAAACUCCCCUCACCCCAAGCUCAAUUUCUGCUUUCUAAACUAUGUGGCUCCAUCAGUGAGGGACACGGUCUUAGUGGAUUUUUCUCUACCCACUUCAAAGCAUGAUCUUACUAGAAAAAUAAGAGCUGAGAGUACCUUCCUGCCAACUUGGGAGGGGUGAAAAGAUACCCCACCAUGGAACAGCUGCCUCGUGGUAGUCCAACUUUGAGAGAACAAAAUGAAAACCUUUGGACCCAUGAAGGAUGGUCCUAAAAAGGGAAAUUCUAGGACGACCUCUAACGAUACUCCAUCUGUCCUACAGCAGGAGCAGACUUAUACAGGGCUGUGAAACUUAGAAAGGAAUGUAGAAAUUUUUAAAAAGAAAAAAGCAAACAGUAACACCUUCUGUUAAAACUUGGAGAUCAUCUUUCGGAGGAUCUGUAUCAAUAAACAUUCAACUCAA